CUGUCACAACCAUAAUUAUAUCAAUAACAGAUAACAGAUAUGACAUUCUUAAGCAUGAACAUAUUGAAGACACUUUUUGAAGAUUUGACUUGAUUGUCUUCUUCACGAAGAAAUUACACUUACUAAUGAAGACACUGGAUAUAUGACUAAUUAUCGAGAUUUUAAUACUAAACUGAAACAGACACUGGGAGAAAUAUUAGAGAACCGCGGUCUUACUGCUCGUUGGUAAUUAGAAAAAUUAUAGUUAAUUAUUUCUCUAUAAAAAGCGACGGUCUACGUAAGAUUGCCGGUGUAGGCUGGAUGAGGAUUGAGGAAAACCGGGAUGUCUGGCGCGAACUUGAGGAGACCUAUGUCCAGCAGUGGACUUCAAUAGGCUGGACUGAUG
Molecule: unclassified non-coding RNA, 385 nt
Filed under: Melitaea cinxia (Glanville fritillary)
Lineage: Eukaryota; Metazoa; Arthropoda; Insecta; Lepidoptera; Nymphalidae
Description: misc RNA ENSMCXG00005001274.1
Source: RNAcentral